This 309-nucleotide small RNA is filed under the name Salmonella enterica subsp. enterica serovar Typhimurium. Its description in RNAcentral is "hilD_3p_UTR". It matches the Rfam family "hilD 3'UTR". Rfam says of the family: Target for hilD mRNA degradation by the degradosome and it may play an role in hilD and SPI-1 expression by serving as a target for the Hfq RNA chaperone. The record is from RNAcentral. Lineage: Bacteria; Pseudomonadati; Pseudomonadota; Gammaproteobacteria; Enterobacterales; Enterobacteriaceae.
CAUUUUUUGUAUCUGUCACUCAAGUAAAGAUUUUUAUUAAAAUUGUAAUAAUUUAAAAUUCAGACUGCGCAUUAACACGCUCUAUCAGGAUGGGAGGCUAUUCAACAUCAUUGUUCUGUCCGGAAGACAGCUUAUACUGAUACCUCUGGUAGUUUAAAGUAAGGCUGAUUAUAUAAACGAUUUUUGUGAACUUGUCAUCGCUAUGAUGACUGGUAAACCGAUAUUGCCUUAUUCACAGCGUAAGAAUCCGUCCAGAUGACACUAUCUCCUUCCGGCUUUAACCCUGUGGAUUAAGGCCGGCAUUUUAUU